This is a long non-coding RNA of Apis cerana (Asiatic honeybee), 2076 nucleotides long. RefSeq lists it as uncharacterized. The record is from RefSeq and is a predicted model, not a curated record. NCBI's taxonomy places the organism in Eukaryota, Metazoa, Arthropoda, Insecta, Hymenoptera, Apidae.
CGAGCCAGCCUCGUUUCCGGGGAUAUUAAUUAAAACGGGGAAGGAAAUGGAGAAAAAAAGAGGGGAGGGAGGGGGGAAAAAAAGGAAGAAAGAAAAAAAGGGAAACGGAGACAAAAACAUUUACGGGACGGCGAAAAAUUUCCCCAUUGUAUCCGGGCAAAGGGCGAGUCGAACGGCGGCGAUACAGAGUUUUCGUCGAACGUGUUCGUUGCGAAUGACAACCCCCUGUGUCGUGCACACGACAGAUGCAGCGAACAAUAUGGCUCGACGUGUGCGCGCGUAGUCGGUUUUGAUUUCGGUGUUAUUAUGCCCACGGUCAGGUAUAACGCACGGCAGAGAACGUGUCAGCCGUCGAUCCGUCGUUAUUCCGUGCUCCUGAGAGGCCCUGCAACGCUGCUCGCAAAAUUGAUCUGCAACGUUACAUGCGACCGACGUAUACCUCUCGCGAUACACUCGAACGCUGCAUUUCCGCUGCUCGACCCCUACCAUUUAUGAAAUUUUCCGCGCCCCAUUUUUCUCCACCACCCUCUUCGUUUCACUUCCACCAUCGAUUUUCCCGUUUCCGAAAUUUUUAUCCCGGGACGAGUAUAACGUUGGCGUGUGAAAUCGUUGUGCGUGCUCGAUUGGGGAGAGCUACAAAUAUUUCGGACGGUUAUAAAAAUUUGAUACGACGAAAAGUAUAAUAUAAUGUAUUAUAAAGAACAAAAUUAUAAAGAGAUAUAUUUCAUGGAUCUUUCUAUAUAUAUAUAUAUAUAUAAGUUUCGAGUUUCGAAUAUUUUUAUCGUGAAUACAAAAAAUGUUAUAAAUAACUUCGAGAUCGAAGGGGGGAAAAGUGGUGGAAAAUUAGGACGGUGUAAAGUUAGACGGCGCCUAAAUUUAUCCACGAGAAUUAUCGAAAGAAAUUGGAUUUCAAAUUUACGACCGCUCUUUGUUCCGCCCUGUAUCAUCCUAUAUCGCUCCACCCUCCCCGACUUAUCAAAAUUUCAAAUAAGAAACAUCGUUUUUCCGCGGCCGCUCUCAUGAAAGUAAGCCAUCCCUCGAACUGGGGAAAGGAAAAGAGUGAAGGAAAGGGCGGAAAAAAACGAUGUUGCAUCCUCCCCUCCCUUGAACGAUAGCCUCCUCCAUCUGGGCAUCGACCUAAUCAGAUGGUAAGAAGCGGAUGCACCAUCUCGUGGAACUUGGCAGUGCGUUCACUAGGGUUCGCCAGUCGUUGGUCCAGGCCAGCAUCCCCUGCGCGACGCUCGCCCAUCCUGUCGGAGGAGUCACGAACUACAUUCGGGGUUGCGGAUAGUACACCCUGUGCGCAGGCCGUCCGCAAACAAUAGACGCGUGCGUGAUCCGUGUGUGUGUGAAACAGUCUGCGGACGAUAAUUUCAUUAAGUAAAAAUGUAUCGUCUGAAGUGACGAAAAAAAGGAAGACGGGUGGAUCGGAUCGAGUGCAUGCCGAUUGAAUAACAGAUACGUAAUACGAAUGAAUGAUCGAUGAAGGAAUGAAGGAAUUGAGCGAAGGAAAACAUCUGGAAGCGUAAUAUGGCUGGGAUUGGCGUCGUUUGACUCGUAAACAGUGAUUUAUCUAUCUUUUAAAUCGGACAGAAAAAUCGACUCGAGGAAUAAAAGAGGAGUAGAACAGGAAAUAUAUCGCGAUCGAUCGGUGUCGAUCGUUGUUUCUUCGGAUUGUUCGUUCGGAUCGAGGAAAGAUCGGAGGGAUGGCCGGUUACACGGUUGUGCGCAAAAAAUUUUGCUGAUCCUCGCUGCAUUCGGGGGGAUCCUGCGCCGUGCAUGACCGGCGGCGGAAAGAAAUUUGUCGAAACCGACUUCGUUCAUCCUUGCCACCUCUGGAAUAGGAGAAAAAUUACGAUUGAAGCGGGGAUAAGAGUUGCGAAAUGAGAUCCUACGACGGUGAGAGCAGCUCUACGGAGGACGAUGAUAGAAGAGAGGGUCUUCCAGAGGCGCACUUGCAGCAAGGAUCCUGGCAACGUUCGGCUUCCCACCCUACAUGGGCUUGGGAACAUCGUACCGCUGUAAAUACUGUCCAUUAUAUAUGUAACUAGCAUACGUUUUUUAAAAAAUUCUGAA